Molecule: ribosomal RNA, 292 nt
Filed under: uncultured bacterium
Lineage: Bacteria
Description: partial 16S ribosomal RNA
Source: RNAcentral
GGACUACACGGGUAUCUAAUCCUGUUUGCUCCCCACGCUGUCGCGCCUCAGCGUCAGCAACGGCCCAGCAGAACGCCUUCGCCACCGGUAUUCUUCCCGAUCUCUACGCAUUCCACCGCUACACCGGGAAUUCCAUCUGCCUCUACCGUGCUCGAGCCCGCCAGUCUUGCCGGCAGCCCCGGAGUUGAGCCCCGGGAUUUCACCAGCAACUUAACGAACCGCCUACGCGCCCUUUACGCCCAGUGAUUCCGGACAACGCUCGCACCCUCCGUAUUACCGCGGCUGCUGGCAC